UGGGGAAUAUUGCACAAUGGAGGGAACUCUGAUGCAGCGACGCCUCGUGAGUGAUGAAGGAAUUCGUUUCGUAAAACUCUGUUCUAUGGGAAUAAAAGGACUGUACCAUAGGAGAAAGCUCCGGCUAAAUACGUGCCAGCAGCCGCGGUAAUACGUAUGGAGCGAGCGUUGUCCGGAAUUAUUGGGCGUAAAGGGUGCGCAGGCGGCUUUACAAGUUGGAUGUGAAAUAUUGUGGCUCAACCACAAACGUGCAUCCAAAACUGCAAAGCUUGAGUUAAGGAGAGGUAAGUGGAAUUCGUGGUGUAGCGGUGGAAUGCGUAGAUAUCAGGAGGAAUACCGAUGGCGAAGGCGACUUACUGGACAUAAACUGACGCUCAGGCACGAAAGCGUGGGGAGCAAACAGG
Molecule: ribosomal RNA, 404 nt
Filed under: Fusobacteriota bacterium
Lineage: Bacteria; Fusobacteriati; Fusobacteriota
Description: Fusobacteria bacterium partial 16S ribosomal RNA
Rfam family: Bacterial small subunit ribosomal RNA
Source: RNAcentral